AGUAAUGUAUGGGGAUCUGCCUGAUGGCGGGGGAUAGCUACUGGAAACGGUAGCUAAUACCGCAUAAUGUCUACGGACCAAAGCGGGGGACCUCCGGGCCUCGCGCCAUCAGAUGAACCCAUAUGGGAUUAGCUAGUAGGUGAGGUAACGGCUUACCUAGGCGACGAUCCCUAGCUGGUCUGAGAGGAUGAUCAGCCACACUGGGACUGAGACACGGCCCAG
This 222-nucleotide ribosomal RNA is filed under the name uncultured bacterium. RNAcentral's name for it is "partial 16S ribosomal RNA". It matches the Rfam family "Bacterial small subunit ribosomal RNA", at positions 109 to 334 of the family's 1533-position model. The record is from RNAcentral.